This 500-nucleotide ribosomal RNA is filed under the name uncultured bacterium. Its description in RNAcentral is "partial 16S ribosomal RNA". It matches the Rfam family "Bacterial small subunit ribosomal RNA", at positions 30 to 523 of the family's 1533-position model. The record is from RNAcentral.
AUUGAACGCUGGCGGCAUGCCUUACACAUGCAAGUCGAACGGCAGCACGGAGCUUGCUCUGGUGGCGAGUGGCGAACGGGUGAGUAAUAUAUCGGAACGUACCCAAGAGUGGGGGAUAGCGUAGCGAAAGUUACGCUAAUACCGCAUACGAUCUCAGGAUGAAAGCAGGGGACCUUCGGGCCUUGUGCUCCUGGAGCGGCCGAUAUCUGAUUAGCUAGUUGGUGGGGUAAAGGCCCACCAAGGCAACGAUCAGUAGCUGGUCUGAGAGGACGACCAGCCACACUGGAACUGUGACACGGUCCAGACUCCUACGGGAGGCAGCAGUGGGGAAUUUUGGACAAUGGGGGCAACCCUGAUCCAGCAAUGCCGCGUGAGUGAAGAAGGCCUUCGGGUUGUAAAGCUCUUUUGUCAGGGAAGAAAAGGGAUUGGCUAAUAUCUAGUCCUCAUGACGGUACCUGAAGAAUAAGCACCGGCUAACUACGUGCCAGCAGCCGCAGUAA